AAUUCUCAAAAUAAAUCUUUUGUUAAUUCAAUUGGUUUCAUUUUGGACUUGGGGGUCUGCAGAUUAACUUCUGCUCCUCUUAAAUAUAUUAGCUGGAUUUCGGAGAGGUCGGUUCCACUCGGCGUGAUAAGUAUCACUCGCUGAGGACACUGUAAAAGGUGGCCGGGCUCACUGCAGAACCGCUUCUAAUAGUCCAUUAAAUUGGACAGCUAUUUAUG
This 218-nucleotide unclassified non-coding RNA is filed under the name uncultured Ceratobasidiaceae. Its description in RNAcentral is "sequence contains ITS2". Lineage: Eukaryota; Fungi; Basidiomycota; Agaricomycetes; Cantharellales; Ceratobasidiaceae. The record is from RNAcentral.